CGGAAAUGUUUCAAACCAGACGCAUGACCCGAUCAAUGUCUAUGUACUACCACCCGAAGAUUUACCCUCGAGAAUACCCUUGAGUACCUUUCAUUAGUUUUUGUUCGUGUCUUGUUUACUGUGAUUGCAUUUUAUCUUUAGAUAUUUGUUACAAUUUACAUUUGCUGGAGGUCAGGUCCAUGCCCCCCUCCUCUCUCUGUUUUCCC
This 206-nucleotide long non-coding RNA is filed under the name Olea europaea subsp. europaea. The record is from RNAcentral. Lineage: Eukaryota; Viridiplantae; Streptophyta; Magnoliopsida; Lamiales; Oleaceae.